RNAcentral lists this ribosomal RNA (461 nucleotides) under Salmonella enterica subsp. enterica serovar Anatum. Its description in RNAcentral is "bacterial SSU rRNA". It matches the Rfam family "Bacterial small subunit ribosomal RNA", at positions 342 to 795 of the family's 1533-position model. The record is from RNAcentral. Lineage: Bacteria; Pseudomonadati; Pseudomonadota; Gammaproteobacteria; Enterobacterales; Enterobacteriaceae.
CGGGUGGCAGCAGUAGGGAAUCUUCCGCAAUGGGCGAAAGCCUGACGGAGCAACGCCGCGUGAGUGAUGAAGGUCUUCGGAUCGUAAAACUCUGUUAUUAGGGAAGAACAUAUGUGUAAGUAACUGUGCACAUCUUGACGGUACCUAAUCAGAAAGCCACGGCUAACUACGUGCCAGCAGCCGCGGUAAUACGUAGGUGGCAAGCGUUAUCCGGAAUUAUUGGGCGUAAAGCGCGCGUAGGCGGUUUUUUAAGUCUGAUGUGAAAGCCCACGGCUCAACCGUGGAGGGUCAUUGGAAACUGGAAAACUUGAGUGCAGAAGAGGAAAGUGGAAUUCCAUGUGUAGCGGUGAAAUGCGCAGAGAUAUGGAGGAACACCAGUGGCGAAGGCGACUUUCUGGUCUGUAACUGACGCUGAUGUGCGAAAGCGUGGGGAUCAAACAGGAUUAGAUACCCGUGUAGUC